GCUGGCGGCAGGCCUAACACAUGCAAGUCGAGCGGUAACAUUUCUAGCUUGCUAGAAGAUGACGAGCGGCGGACGGGUGAGUAAUGCUUGGGAACAUGCCUUGAGGUGGGGGACAACAGUUGGAAACGACUGCUAAUACCGCAUAAUGUCUACGGACCAAAGGGGGCUUUUAGCUCCCGCCUUUAGAUUGGCCCAAGUGGGAUUAGUUAGUUGGUGAGGUAAUGGCUCACCAAGGCAACGAUCCCUAGCUGGUUUGAGAGGAUGAUCAGCCACACUGGGACUGAGACACGGCCCAGACUCCUACGGGAGGCAGCAGUGGGGAAUAUUGCACAAUGGGCGAAAGCCUGAUGCAGCCAUGCCGCGUGUGUGAAGAAGGCCUUCGGGUUGUAAAGCACUUUCAGUCAGGAGGAAAGGUUAGUAGUUAAUACCUGCUAGCUGUGACGUUACUGACAGAAGAAGCACCGGCUAACUCCGUGCCAGCAGCCGCGGUAAUACGGA
This 498-nucleotide ribosomal RNA is filed under the name uncultured Pseudoalteromonas sp. RNAcentral's name for it is "bacterial SSU rRNA". It matches the Rfam family "Bacterial small subunit ribosomal RNA", at positions 35 to 529 of the family's 1533-position model. Lineage: Bacteria; Pseudomonadati; Pseudomonadota; Gammaproteobacteria; Alteromonadales; Pseudoalteromonadaceae. The record is from RNAcentral.